RNAcentral lists this unclassified non-coding RNA (520 nucleotides) under uncultured Glomus. RNAcentral describes it as "SSU rRNA". It matches the Rfam family "Eukaryotic small subunit ribosomal RNA", at positions 569 to 1094 of the family's 1831-position model. Lineage: Eukaryota; Fungi; Glomeromycota; Glomeromycetes; Glomerales; Glomeraceae. The record is from RNAcentral.
AGCAGCCGCGGUAAUUCCAGCUCCAAUAGCGUAUAUUAAAGUUGCUGCAGUUAAAAAGCUCGUAGUUGAAUUUCGGGACUAAUAUGUCGGUCGUGCCUCGGUACGUACUGGCUUAUUGGUUUCUCCUUUCUGAAGAACCAUGAUGUCAUUUAUUUGGUGUCGUGGGGAAUCAGGACUGUUACUUUGAAAAAUUAGAGUGUUUAAAGCAGGCUUACGCUUGAAUACAUUAGCAUGGAAUAAUGAAAUAGGACGUUUGAUUCUAUUUUGUUGGUUUCUAGGAUCGACGUAAUGAUUAAUAGGGAUAGUUGGGGGCAUUAGUAUUCAAUUGUCAGAGGUGAAAUUCUUGGAUUUAUUGAAGACUAACUACUGCGAAAGCAUUUGCCAAGGAUGUUUUCAUUAAUCAAGAACGAAAGUUAGGGGAUCGAAGACGAUCAGAUACCGUCGUAGUCUUAACCAUAAACUAUGCCGACUAGGGAUCGGAUGAUGUUAAUUUUUAAUGACUCAUUCGGCGCCUUACGGG